AAAAAUUUAAAAAAAAAAAAACAGUAAGAAGGCUUCGACAAAGAAAAAGAGAGAGAGAGGGAGAGGGACGAUUCAUCACCGCCGCCAUUCAUCUCCUUGCCGCCGUCGUCUCCUCCGUCAAGCGUUGCCGGUGGAGUUAUAAAUGGAAAUCGUGGAGCCUCUGAAUUUUCAUUGACCUCUCAGAGUGACGAUUUGAUUUAGAUUGUUGAGGUAAUGCUUCAAAUUUUCCGCUUCUCCGUCGUCUUCCACCGUGGGUUAUGCCACUGGUUUUGCUUUUUCUCCGUCGGCUUGAAGCACUCAAAGUGCGUUUCGGCGCGGAUUCGGUGCUGCUAACUGAGGAGAUCAAGAAGGCGAGCUAGCAAGUCUCUGUAAGCUUCGAUUGAAGCCACGUUCAAAACUAUCAGAUCUCGUGGAACUGAUUUCAUGUCGUGUGGAGUCAUUACAAUGAGGAUUUGUUCCUAAUUUUUUCUUGUUCUUUGCUUUCUUCAAUUCUUCAAAUUUUUUCAAAGAUAUUAGAUUUUGUGAUAAUUUGAUGAUAUAGUUUUGGCAAAAUUAUACACAAAUUCUGCUUCUUAUGUUCUAAUAUACUCUUCUCUUCUGUUAAUUUUUCAGGUCAAGACAGAGAAUUUGAUAUAGAUUUAGUUAAGUUGAUUUGAUAUAUUAUAAAGGUGAAUAGACAUUGAAAAUUUUGAUUUUUCUUGAAGUAAAAAGGAUGUUAGGGUUCAUAGUUUAGGUGAUCAUUAAGUUCAAUUGUUUCCAUUAGAGGUUAUUCUCCUUUAUUGAUGUAGAUUUGUUGAGAUAUAUCUAUAAAUUAAGUGUUUAGUACUUUGUUGAUUCAAAUUUCAAAAUGAAAAAUAGUUAUCUUUUGUAUACCUUCAAGUUGUAUCAUUUUUUGCUGAUCAAGAUUGGUAGAAAAAUUUCAGUAUAUAGCAUAAUAGUUGUUUAAAACAAACAUAGCAAUGUUCAUGUUUCUCAUUCAAAGUAGACAUAUUUAAUUUAAUGUUCUGUUUUGACAAGUGACUAUUACUAAAUAUGUCAUAUGAAGUUCUUGAACAAGCAAUAAAUUACUUCAAUGAUUCCAAUAAAGGUAUUUUCUAUCAAUUUCUUUGGGGAGUGGGGUGACGAGCCAGCUGCGCGACAAAUUCAGAGUCCAAAGAAGGUGUUGCCAUCAAAAAGAUCGGGAAUGCCUUUGACAACAGGAUCGAUGCCAAGAGGACUCUCCGGGAAAUCAAGCUCCUCUGUCACAUGGACCAUGAUCAUGUGAUUAAGAUAAAGGAUAUAAUAAGGCCAGCGGAGAGGAAAAAGUUCAAUGAUGUGUACAUAGUUUAUGAGCUAAAGGACAUGAGAAUCUGCCAUUCAUUCUUCUUCUUUAAUGAAACUAACUGCAACCAUGACAAUGGAAGAAGACUCCUUAGCUGCACUUCCAUUUGACAAAGCUGUUGAACAACAGGUAGUAAAUAUGAAUGAAGAAUUACAUGCCACGAUACAAUGUUUUAAUUUGGAGAAACACGUCGAUGCUCGCAUGAGCUUUGGUGGCAACGGUGGAAAGUUGCAGAUUUUGGAUGCUAUGUGAUGAUUCAGGGGGAUUUUAGGGUAUAAGAAGAUAAGAAACAUCGGGCGACCUAUCAGGCAUUAGGUGAUUCUGAAAAGAAGCUCCAGUUUUAUUCAGCCAGACAAAUAGCCUGUCGCUUGCUUGGAAGCAGGGGUUACCUCUGUCAGAAGUGCUGGCUUCCUGUGGAGGAGGAUUGUAUGUGUUCAAGAAUCAAUUCCUGCUCCCUCUGGCUCGGAAUGAAAUUUUGAUUGUAUAUGCAUCCCAAGGUUAUCUUUUUUCCUCCCUUGCAUUGGUAGUUUACCGAUGAACAAGUUGAUUUUGAUAUGCAUAUAAAAGGCUAAUUAAGAGAAUCAAAGGUUGAGGACUUCCUAGAUUAACAUACUUAGGAAUCCCCCAAUUCUUGAAUAGUUGUUAGAUAUAUUUGUUUUGUUAAUGCACCUUAUUUAUUUUUUGUUAGUAUUUAUAUUUGUUUUUCUUAUACUCAAGAAGAAGAAAAGGAAAUUAGUGUUGAAAAAGGUACAUAAAUGCAGAGAUAGUAUUUGCAGCUAGCUCCACUUGCCCAUUGUGUGGUUGUGUUCCUUUAUUUUACCAUGAAAAAGAGGUAUUUGUGCAUUUUGCAUAUAACACAGCAUGUGGUCAUAAUAUGAAGGCCAAAACACUAAGACUAAUUUACAGAAAAAAAUAGCAUAUAUAAGAUAAUAAAAUAAUGAAGAUUAUUAGCAUGUGUGGCAUGCAUGCAUGAUAUGAUUGUUAUUUGUUUCUGAAAGAGAAUAUAUAGUACACAUUGCUAUAGAUGUAUAUCAUGAUUAUUCUCUAUCACUCUUUUAUUCAGUACUAUCUAUUCUACCAUCAUGCUAUGCCGGUUAGCUUAUCCUCAAUUAUUCACUUUCUGUACAAAUUUUCUAAAUGAAUCAAAAUGAUCAAGGGAUCAAGUUGACUAAUGUAUUUUAUUCAUAGAAACUAUUUGAACUCAUUAACACCAGACCAAAGAAAGCAUUAACUCUUAAUUUUGCUUUUGAUCAAAGUUCUAAUUUUGUUGUGUGUAAACCAGGAUGCUGUGGUCUCUCGAAAUUGACUGUCUACUUUGUUUUGUUUCUAAAGAUAAUUAAUUCUUUUAUUUCUAUUUUUUAAUGAUACUUUUAUGGCUUUUAUUUUUUCUAUUUUGUUGCAUUGAUGUUUACCAUUAUGAACAUAUGGCCUCUUAUUUCAAUGUGUACUCUACUCUUAAUUUUUUGAAAAGUGAGAGAAGAAUCUGCUUGCAAUGAGGGGAAGAGUUUUGGUAUAGGAUCUCAGAUUCAUGACAAGGGACAUAAGGAUGAGGUGUGCAUUUUUGUUGUUUUUAUUAUUCUAAAUGUAAUGGUUGUUCUAUGACAGUUCUUACAUGUUUAGCAGUAUUGAUUAUGGAAUAAGGAAUAUAUAUUGGCAUGUAGUU
Molecule: non-coding RNA, 2984 nt
Organism: Arachis ipaensis
Lineage: Eukaryota; Viridiplantae; Streptophyta; Magnoliopsida; Fabales; Fabaceae
Source: RefSeq, a predicted model, not a curated record